GAUUAACGCUGGCGGCAUGCCUAAUACAUGCAAGUCGAACGGAAGCAGCAAUGCUUUAGUGGCGAACGGGUGAGUAACACGUAGGGAACCUACCUAUACGACGAGGAUAACUACUGGAAACGGUAGCUAAAACUGGAUAGGAUCAAUUGAGGCAUCUUGAUUGAUUUAAAGAUCCUUCGGGAUUACGUAGAGAUGGCCCUGCGGCGCAUUAGCUAGUUGGUGAGGUAACGGCCACCAAGGCGACGAUGCGUAGCUGAGCUGAGAGGCUAAACAGCCACACUGGGACUGAGACACGGCCCAGACUCCUACGGGAGGCAGCAGUAGGGAAUUUUCGGCAAUGGGGGAAACCUUGACCGAGCAAUGCCGCGUGAACGAUGAAGGUCUUCGGAUUGUAAAGUUCUGUGAUUGGGGAAGAAUGGUAUUCUUAGGGAAUGAGGAGUACAUGACGGUACCCGAUUAGAAAGCCCCGGCUAACUAUGUGCCAGCAGCCGCGGU
Molecule: ribosomal RNA, 495 nt
Filed under: uncultured bacterium
Lineage: Bacteria
Description: bacterial SSU rRNA
Rfam family: Bacterial small subunit ribosomal RNA
Source: RNAcentral